RNAcentral lists this ribosomal RNA (417 nucleotides) under Triticum aestivum (bread wheat). RNAcentral's name for it is "partial small subunit ribosomal RNA". The record is from RNAcentral. Lineage: Eukaryota; Viridiplantae; Streptophyta; Magnoliopsida; Poales; Poaceae.
AUGCCAGUGGGUGACACUGGAGACAUGAGAGAUGGCAAUAUUUGGGUUAUGCCGGCAGAGGGUGGUGGCCUUGGUUUACUAUUCCUGAGAGGUAUUUGUGCCCAAUUAUGGAAGAGGAAGACCGAUUGCAAGGGUGUUGCCUCAUGGGUGCUGGGAAGAACUGUUGAAUUGGACAAGCUACUUUCCCUGAAUUCAGAGAUGGAAAGAAAGCACCCAAGGAUACUCGGGUUUGUUGAGGACAAUAAUGUGGUGUUGUUGUGGACAUCUGUUGGCAUCUUCACGGUCCAGUUUGAAUCAUGGCUGUUCAAGAAAGUUUUCGAAUCUAGCGCCUGGUAUCUCCAUUUUCCAUUCGAAGGUGUCUAUACUGCAGGCAAUGGUGGUGGACCCUCUGAAGCUAAACUUUUGUACAAUACAUAA